GACGAACGCUGGCGGCGUGCCUAACACAUGCAAGUCGAACGGGGAAGUUAGCAAUAACUUUCUAGUGGCGAACGGGUGAGUAACGCGUAGACAACCAACCUUUUUGUGGGGGACAACACUUCGAAAGGAGUGCUAAUACCGCAUGAGCUCCAGAUGCCGCCUGGCGUUUGGAGGAAAGGAGCUUCACGGCUUCGCAAAAAGACGGGUCUGCGUCUGAUUAGCUAGUUGGAGGGGUAACGGCCCACCAAGGCGACGAUCAGUAGCCGGUCUGAGAGGAUGGACGGCCACACUGGGACUGAGACACGGCCCAGACUCCUACGGGAGGCAGCAGUGGGGAAUCUUCCGCAAUGGACGAAAGUCUGACGGAGCGACGCCGCGUGAGUGAUGAAGGCCCUUGGGUCGUAAAGCUCUGUCAUCAGGGACGAACGGUCACGUCAGGAAAUGGGCGUGAAUUGACGGUACCUGAGAAGGAAGCCACGGGCUAACUACGUGCCAGCAGCCGCGGUAAU
Molecule: ribosomal RNA, 509 nt
Filed under: uncultured bacterium
Lineage: Bacteria
Description: bacterial SSU rRNA
Rfam family: Bacterial small subunit ribosomal RNA
Source: RNAcentral